This 68-nucleotide transfer RNA is filed under the name Chrysolina haemoptera. Its description in RNAcentral is "tRNA-Ser". Lineage: Eukaryota; Metazoa; Arthropoda; Insecta; Coleoptera; Chrysomelidae. The record is from RNAcentral.
GAAAUAUGAUUAAUCAAAUAUAAGCUUCUAACUUAAUAUUUAAGCGAUGAAAUUUCGUUUAUAUUUCU